This 7665-nucleotide long non-coding RNA is filed under the name Carica papaya (papaya). RNAcentral describes it as "long non-coding RNA (CPAP_LNC009748)". The record is from RNAcentral. Lineage: Eukaryota; Viridiplantae; Streptophyta; Magnoliopsida; Brassicales; Caricaceae.
GAGUAGCUUUCUUAUCUAUCAAUUUCCCAAUUUCCACUUUACUUUUUGUUUAAAAUUGUAUGAUAUAGGGUGAUUGUGGCAUGAAGGGAAGCUUUGCUACUCGUAUCUCUGGAUCUGCUGAUCUUUACAAGGUAAUGAUCAUUCUACCAUGGGUGCUUCAAGUCCUCUACUAAUAUUCUUGUUGAAAUCAUGGGUAAUUUUUAUCUUCAAUAUUUUGGCAUAAAUUGCUAACACAAAACUGUAACAAUUUUGAGGUUUAGAUUGUUCAGAAGUUUAUUAACAUACCAUUUUUGUAACUGAAUUUGAAUUAACAAGUGAGCAGAGCACAUUUAUUUAUUUAUAGUCAAAAUAGCCUAUGAGAUCCUGGAGCAAAGCGUUGACUUCCACAAUGAAUUGAUUUUUUUUUUCUUUUAAAAAAGAAAUUUGUCAAGCUAUGGGUUGAUUCAGUUUACAGACUUAUAUGACUUGAAGGUGUUAUUCUGUGAUUCUCAUCUUAUGGACCUUGUUCUUAGUCAAUAUCUUUUAGGAUAUAGUAUUUUAUAAGUUAGAAUAUGAGAUGCUACUCAUGAAAGUUCUGACGUGACAGAAAUUUCGUUAAUGAAGCUAGACGUCUAUUUGCAUAUUCUGUAAAGUUUUACUUCACUAAAAUCCACUUUCCCAGUAAAGGAAUAAAAUAUAUUAUUCUAUUUAAUCUAUAUUAUAAUUUGCUCAUAUCUUGCAAUAUUAUAAAGAGUACAUACUUCUGAUGAGUAAAUCACUUUUAAUAUUUUUCAUUCCCCUCCACCUAAUCAGUUAUCACAAUUAUUGGCUAUUGCAAAAAUUAACCUUUGGAUCUUUUCUUCUCCUUCUAUAGGUCAAUAAACGCAAGCCUUACCAUAGUGUUAAUUUUGUCAUUGCACAUGAUGGUUUCACUUUGUACGAUCUUGUUUCGUACAAUUUUAAGGUACUAUAUGCUUUUACUGGAUUAAUUUGAUUUUAUAAAUAUUAUGAAUCCACUUUUGCCCAUUACUGUUGGUUUUGUAGCACAAUGAUGCUAAUGGAGAAGGUGGAAAUGAUGGGAGCAAUGAUAAUUUCAGCUGGAAUUGUGGUUUUGAAGGUAGGAAUGAGCUACUUAUCUGGAAACCUUAGUUUGUAAAUUACAGGUUUAGAGCAUCAUAUUUUUAAGGUUCUAAAGAUGGGAUCACAUGACACCUCAAAAACUGGGAAAAUUUUCAUAUCAACAGAUUGUGAAGUGAGUCACUAUGGAAUUUCUUUGAGAUGAAAGUUGUUUUUUUUAUUUGCUUUAAAAGUAGGCCCUUCAUACAUGGAGUAUAAAUAGAUUUAAUUUGGUUUGUUUACACCCUGUACCCAAACCAUACGAAACUAAAAAGAUUUCAAACCAGAUCAAACCAUUUACCACGAAAAUAACAGAAACCAAACUAAAUUAAGUUACCUUACAUUUUAUGUAUCUCAAAAAUUUUUGUAACUUUGUCUAACAAUAUUACCUUACAUUAAUAAUAGCGUAUCUCAAAAACAAUAUUUUUUGCAAAUUAAGUUACAUAUACAACCUAGCAAAACAAAAACAAAAACAAAAACAAAAGUAAGUACUUUUAGGCACGAAUAGGAUGGUUUGGUUUGUUUUGGUUGAAAUCUUCUAGACCAAAAUGAACCUAAUUAAAAUUUUUGGUUUAGAUUUCUAUAACCAAAAUUUGGAGGAUCAAAAGCUAAACUAACCAUUUUGGUACUUUGCUUUACUUUUUUAGUUUGCAUCAAACAAACCCUAUUCGUGGGAGGACUGAGUUACAUAGCAUAUUUGUGGUGCAUUCAGGUUCUUGUUGGUCCUUAAACCUCCUGAAUGUCUUAGGACAUCACUGCUUGGCUGUGGAUGCCUGUUUUGAGUGACCCUGUUCUCCCGAAGAUGUGAUAUCAUUUUAUGUUCGAAAGUGUUGGAUAGUAGUGUCUGUGUCUGCUUCUUUUAUAAUGGUUUUUCUUCUCUAGAUCUUUUGCCGAAAAUUUAGGAUAUUGAUAGGUUUUAAAAAAGCUUCCAUGGAUGCGGAGGUUGUUGGCUGUUCCCUUAUUGGAUUUAUGCAUUCUUGUCAUUCAUUCAACUAAAUCUUACCUUCCAUUUUGUUUGAAAGUUAGCCAUACGCUACAUGAUCCCUUUCAUUCAAAAUUCUUGUUACCUUCUUUUUUUUUUUUUGUGUGUGUGCUAUAUGAUCAUUUUCCAUUUUGGCAGUUUGAGAGCUGCUGUAUAGGGAACACAUGACCGGACUUAGCAGUUCAGGGAAUUGCAAGAAAAUAUAUUACAUUCAUCUGUAUUUAUGCACAGGGGAAACUGAUGAUCCUAAGGUUAAAGCUUUGCGUUCCAGACAAAUGAAGAACUUCCAUUUGGCAUUAAUGAUAUCGCAGGUAAAACAUAUCUGAAAGCUGGUAUAAAGUGUCGCACAUUGGUGGUGCCUUACAACUUUAUCUUUUCCUGCUUAAACGAUCUUCAAUGUUUUCCUGUUUGGAUAAAUAGUCUAAACUUUUUGUUUAACUUGAUACACAAAUCAUUUUUUUUUUCAAACAAAAAAUAAUGACAAUGAGACAAUAAUAAUAAUAAUGGACUUGUAUUUUAUUUGGGUUUCAGGUUCUUGUUUGACUAAUUAUGUUUGCUGUAGUGUAGGUUAGUCAACAUUGAGUUGGUUAAGUUGUUUUUUUCUCCCUAAUUUCAUAUGUUUGUCAUCUACCUUUAUUACUAUUAAUCCUUGCUGUUAUCUUCAAUAUAAUAGGCAGUAUAUGGGCUUCAAAGCUCGUUUCUAUUCCAUCCGAAUUUGACACACCACGCCUGUUUCCUUUUCUUUUACAUCAUUUUCAUUGUAGCUUGUGCGUUGUUAUGCCUGGUUUUUUAGUGGUUUUCUCUAUGUUGCUUGUGAGCUUUGCUGUUUUAAUGUGACCAAAGUGAAUGUAUAUAAGCAGGGAACUCCAAUGAUGCUAAUGGGAGAUGAAUAUGGGCAUACUCGUAAUGGGAACAACAACAGCUAUGGUCAUGAUAAUGCCAUUAACAAUUUCCAAUGGGACGAGGCAUGUUUUCUAUUUGUUUUUCUGUCUUUCUGAUAGCUUUAACUCAUGAUGGCUCCUAAUGCAAAAUAUUUUUGUUAACAGUUGGACCAAAAGAAGAGUAGUCAUUUUAGAUUUUUUGCAGAGGUGAUAAGAUUUCGCCGGAGUCAUCAAGUAUUUAGCCAUGAAAACUUUAUUAGCAAAGUAAAUCUCGUUUCACUUUCAUGUUGUAGUUUAUUGCCUCUGAUUCCUAUGAAGCUAAUGAACCAUUUCAUAUACAGAGUGAUGUUACAUGGCAUGAGGAUAACUGGGACAAUUAUGACAGCAAAUUUCUUGCGUUCACGUAAGAAUAAAAUUUUUCUUCUUUCUGCAAUGUAAAAAAUAAUCUGCUCCUGGCAAUGGAAUUGCAUAACUGAUGUCCAGGAUCAAGCACAGAUUUCCCAUUUCCUGUUUGAUAUUAUAAAUUGCAUGCUGGACAGAGUGGCAAGUUGUUGAUUUAUUUCUUAAUCAAAAAGAAUUAUUUCAUUGUGUGCAUGCGUAUGUGCUCGUCUAUUUAUAUACCGUCCUGUCUCCUUGUGGCAGACAAUUGUAUUUCUUCUUUUCUCUGAUUGCCAGAAAAAAGGAUUCAAGCUUUGUUAAUGUGCUUUCCUCCUAACAGCACAGCCCCAGCUUCAUGGGCCAUUGUAGUCUCAUUUUCUCUUUAAAAGAAGUUUGAGUUUCAUUACCUGGAGGCUUGCAACUGUUCCCAUCCGACAAUAGAUGACCCUAAUCUUUUCCUUCACUCCCUUUAUGAACAAGAGGGAGGGACAGACUGCCUACAGUCUGUUUAGAUAUAUAUGAACAAAGCUAUUUCUACCAGUUAUUACCAAAAGCCAGAUCUAUGGCCUAUUAGUUUUACUAUUUCUGACCUUAUCUCCUGAUAUUACUAAAUAGAGUAAACUUAUGCUGGGGACUCCAGGAGCAAUCAUGUACACAGUAUUUAGCUUGGAAACAAUUAGUGUGUGAACAUAUAUAUAAUGAAAUGAAUUUUAGAAGAUGUUGUGCCGUAUAUAUUUUUUUCUGGAAACUAGUGAGCAUAUUUCAUUGUUAUUUUAACGAGCAUAUGCAGUCAGAACAGCAAAUGAGAAAUCUUUGGUUUUUGCAGGCUUCAUGACAAGAAAGGUGGAGAUAUAUAUUUGGCAUUCAAUGCACAUGACUUUUUUGUUAGAGUUUCAAUACCUCCACCACCAGCAAGGAGGCAUUGGCUUCUUGUGGUUAGUAUUUUCCUUUUCUUUUCUUUGAACUUGCAAUAUCUGCAACAUAUAAUGCUAUAUUCAGCACUUACAUUAUCCUAGUGCCACGAAUAUUAUUCAUAUGCUUAAAUUGUCUUUUCAUCUUUCAAUUUUAGGAUACCUGCUACCUUUCAAUUUCAGAAUACUUGCUACAGAAACAACUUUCAGUGAUAAUCUUAAUUUCUUAGUGGUUAUUUGGACUUUGUUUCGGGACACCUAUCCCACUGAUUUUUGGUCAAUUUUUAAUGUUUCAAACCUAUACUGCUUUCUAAGCAUAUGGGAUCAUUGUUCCUUGGCUUUCCUAAAAACUAGAGGGUUUGUCCCUCUCUGUACACCUGGAUGUGAGAACGGAAAAUGUUCCUUGGGUUGAUCCAAAUUUGUGGAGAUGGGAGAUCAAAUGAGUAUAUUAGGCUCCAAGUAAAUGGUGCGGUUUGGUGCUAUGUUGUCACUUUACAUGUCAGUCCCUAACUUUUUGCUCCAAAUUCUCCACAUGUUGUAAUGCUCCUUCGCUUUUAGUUUUCUUUCCCAAAAAGGACCACAUAGAUGCAGCCUUACUCCUGCUGUGAUGUUCAUUAGGAGCCUCUCACUUGCUGCUUUUUUUAAAAUAAAAAAUAAAAAAGUAAAGUAUAAUUCAUUCACAAGCAGUAAGUGCAAACCCGUGUACCUGUGACUUGCUGCUAAUUAAUGAUAAAGCAUUGUUUUAAUUAAGUUUCCUAGUGUAACGUUCAUGACAUGGAUGCAGUAAAGUGAGCUGCCGAGUUUAAAUGAUGGAUAUAACUAUGGCCAAUAAAAGAUUCUUUUGAAGUAAAAGAGUGAAAGAAGCAAGAAUUAAAAAAUAAAAUAAAAUAAAAAAGUCUCAGUUGAAUGAUUUGAUCAGGAAUAAUUGUGGCUUGACUUGGCAUGCAAAAUAUUCCUUAUUCACAAUCAAUAAUUUAAAGAAGAACCCAAACAUGUUGGUAAUUUAUUUGCCUCGUCAAAUUUCAGGCGGACACAAAUCUCGAGUCUCCGAAUGACUUUGUCCCUGAAGGUGUCCCAGGCAUAGAAGGCAUCUACAAUGUGGCCCCUUACUCUUCAAUUCUUCUUGAAGCUAAAUAAUGAGUCAUGAACCUGACCUAUCUGCAUAUUACACGAGCACUCCAAGAUUUUUUAUCUGCUAUAUGAGAUACAGGUUUUCUGGGAUCAUUUCGGUAUCAGGUAUUUCUAAGACUAAGGAAAGAGAUCUCUCUUUUGGGUAAAGAAGGAAGAUCAAUCUACAUCACAAAUUGAUGAAACAUUAACAGUUUUUAGACUUUACGCGCACUUAAUUAUAUAGUCAACUUUAGAGGCUUGUCUUUCCUUGGUAGUGAAGAUCUGAAUUGGUAAUGCAAAUUAAUUUUUACUUUUUUUUUUUUUUUUUUCCUUGCGUGAAGAAUUAGAAUUCAAGAAUAAGCAAGAAGAAAAAUAAAUACUUAUAUAUUCGGCAAAGCUAUUUUCUCAAGUCAUUGAAGAAGUAUUUGUCGUCUAGUGAGCGGCACGGUUUCUGAGUUUGACGACUUUAACUUGCUUUGAUUAGAAGAUGGCAUUAUGUAUUUAUGGUGCUUCUUUUUGAGCUCAUCUAUACGGUAGUCUUAUAUAAUAAACAUGCAAAUCAGGUUUCUUAAGACUUUUUGAAGCUGGAUGAAUUUAAUAAUUUAAGAGAAAUUCUGGGAGAACUAGUCAAUAUAUAAAUUCGGUUAACUGGCAAUUUGAUUUGUUUAGGGUAAAUUUUAAAAUUUUAAUAGAUGUAUGAAACAAUCUUCCCGGAAGUACAUCUUGGAUUUUAAAUCUUUUUAACAACGAAAAGAAGUUCAAGGUCUUAAAAAAUUACAACUGGACAACGAGACAAAGAUAAUGAAAACAGUAACACAUCUUUAGAUGUAUUAACUUAUGAUGAGUUCCAUGUCUUUUCUUCAUCGAUUUGGAUAGUCCUGUAAUUUAAAUUUUAUAAUAUAUUCCAGUCCACAACGGGCUAAUCUAAUCAUAACGAUAAGGGCAAUUUCCGCGUUUAAUAAUUAACUUGAUUAAUUAAAAAAUUAUACCCGUUGAUCAAUUAGAAACUUCAAAGACUAGAAAAGUCAACCAACAACCCACCGCCGUUGAUCAAAGAUGCUUUACGACAACGCGUCGCUGGAGUUUGUCAAAUUAUUGUACUUCAUCCGACGGUUCAGAUCCUUCCCUUGCGAUCAUCGGUACCACGUGUCAGUGAAGAUGCAGUUUCCUUUUUGUCGCACUUGAAUCCCUCAAGUUUCUCAUUCUCUCAAACCUUCCCCUAAUUGUUUAAACCAAUUGUAGAUCUGCUCCCCGUUCGUCUCCCAUAAUUAGUAAUUAUUUAUUAAACCUUAUUACGAAUGCCACUAUUAUCCAAAGACAAAUUAAUAUGACAUUUUCUUAUUAAAAAACUAAUUUUUAACUAAAUUAAAUAACAAAAAUGAUUGCGUCUCAUAAAUUUUUAUAAGCAUGUCUAAAAGAAAAUAAUUCUCUUUCUAGAAGAAGUAAAAUUUCAUUAUAAAUUAUUAAUAAUUCAAUAAAGUAUAAUUAUAUGUUGAUAAAAAAAUAAAUCAACAUGAUAGGACAAAAAUAAAAUAGACUUUUUAUCUAUUUAGACCGGCAAGGACUAAAAUGAAAGAAUACGUAAAUAUAAGGUGGUUAAAUGGAGAUUUCCGAAUAAACAAGUCAUCUUACGAUUAAAAUCUGGAAGAAAAGGAAACAAACAAGAAAUUUUCUGAACCGACUUUAACCUUUUCUCUAUAUAAACUCUCUUCUCCUCUCUCUCUCUCUUCAAAGCCCGCACAGUCUCUCUUUCGUUCUCUCUCAAUCUCUCACCAGUCGGCUCCUCUGUACUCUGCGACUUCUUCCUUUUUGCUUCUGAGCCCUUUGGCCUUUCGUUUUCUCUCGAGAACUCGCUUGAGCUAUAAACGAAAAAUGGCCAACGAGACUUUCCUUCUUCUUCUGCUUCUGGCACUGGCUUCCCACUCCGCUCUUGCUCAGGCUCCCGGAGCAGCACCGAACCAAUCUCCGCCAGCAGCUACUCCAGCUCCGGCCCCAAAGGCUGCGGCUCCAACUCCCUCAGUCAUGGCUCCACCACCAGCCACCACUCCAACUACUCCACCAACCGUAGCUCCAACCGUACCUCCAGCAAGUGCACCAACUUCUCCCACCAUCUCUCCUCCUGCUCCUCCCACCUCUCCCGCUUCAGCUCCAUCCACACCGGUCCCUCCCACACCAUCCAUUUCCAACCCUCCCGGUGAGGCUCCUGCCGUCACUCCCGGCAAUGGAGCUGCCUUGAACAGAAUCUCCGCCGCCGGAUCUUUCGCAGGAGCUGUCUUCGCCGCGGCCUUGUUGCUGUAGAUCUGACACG